Pelobates cultripes (western spadefoot toad) is the source of this 284-nucleotide non-coding RNA. The record is from the annotation of a GenBank genome assembly. Lineage: Eukaryota; Metazoa; Chordata; Amphibia; Anura; Pelobatidae.
CUGUCACAUUUUUUGGGUGCUAAAAAGUACAUUUGUGGCGUGCACUUCAUAUCUGAGAGUCAAAUAGAACCGUCAAAUACUGUGGUUACAUAGCACUUUGAAAAAUUCGAAUUUUUUUUUUUAUUAUUCUUUAUUUUUGGUUCGACACAUAUUACGGCAUGGCAGUAUUCAGUGGCUCGCGCAGGGGCCAAUAUUGAUUGAGACUAACAUUGCAUAAUACAGAAGAUAAGCGGUUUUACAAGUUAAUGCAAGGUUCUGUUACGCCGUGCAGUGUCACUGUAAAA